CCUACGGGAGGCAGCAGUGGGGAAUAUUGGGCAAUGGGCGCAAGCCUGACCCAGCAACGCCGCGUGAAGGAAGAAGGCUUUCGGGUUGUACACUUCUUUUCUCAGGGACGAAGCAAGUGACGGUACCUGAGGAAUAAGCCACGGCUAACUUCGGGCCAGCAGCCGCGGUAAUACGUAGGUGGCAAGCGUUAUCCGGAUUUACUGGGUGUAAAGGGCGUGGAGGCGGGACUGCAAGUCAGAUGUGAAAGACACGGGCGCACCCUGUGGCCUGCAUUUGAAACUGUAGUUCUUGAGUACUGGAGAGGCAGACGGAAUUCCUAGUGUAGCGGUGAAAUGCGUAGAUAUUAGGAGGAACACCAGUGGCGAAGGCGGUCUGCUGGACAGCAACUGACGCUGAGGCGCGAAAGCGUGGGGAGCAAACAGGAUUAGAUACCCGAGUAGUC
RNAcentral lists this ribosomal RNA (443 nucleotides) under uncultured bacterium. Its description in RNAcentral is "partial 16S ribosomal RNA". It matches the Rfam family "Bacterial small subunit ribosomal RNA", at positions 338 to 795 of the family's 1533-position model. The record is from RNAcentral.